Molecule: long non-coding RNA, 973 nt
Filed under: Sarcophilus harrisii (Tasmanian devil)
Lineage: Eukaryota; Metazoa; Chordata; Mammalia; Dasyuromorphia; Dasyuridae
Description: lncRNA (ENSSHAG00000026387.1)
Source: RNAcentral
GUGAUACAGUUUAUGGUUCCUCUUAUAAACUCCUUGAGGGCUAGCACAUAGUAGGAGGUCAGAAAAUGAAAGCAUAGCCCAGUCUUUCCUCCCUGGAAUCUCAGAAUCUGGUUGGGGGAAUCGAGAAAUGAUAGGAUGUAAAAAACCGCAGCCAAACAACGGUGUGGCGUUCAUCCCUGCAACAGGCGGUAGCCAGUCAGAGGCAAUAUUCGGAGCCAGAAGUGCCCUUGGGGACCGACCCUCCCUUCUGGGGGCUGUGCAGACGGGGGCAACGCGGAGAAAGUAAAUGACUUGUACAAGGUCACGCGGACAGUGAGCAGCCAGGGUGGGAGGGGAACCCUCCGCCGCCAAAUGCUGCGCACAGAAACCCCAUCUCUUUUGCUUUCAGAACCGCAAUCGGCAGAGCAGGUGGUUGAACCAACGUCUACCAUUAACUUGUGUGAGCCUCCGAAAUCACCGCAUCUUUCUCAGACAUUCAGUUCCCAAUCGGUAAUCGAGGGGCUGGACUACCAUUGCGGCUCUCCGUGUGAGGUGCAGAAGAGGAGCUCGGGAGAUUGCUGUCAUCCGGGACUACCGUCUGCACUGCCAUCGCGCCAGGUCGGACCGGCGCAAGGAGGCCAGAUGUCUCAGGACGAGAAGGAGUCGGGGUCGCCCACAGAGAAUCAAGACCAUGGGGAGCUUUCCGUGACUGCAGAGCCUGCAGAGCCCACAGAGCCUGCAGAGCCCGCUGAGCCCACCGAGGCCGCCGAACCCAAGGAGCCUGCUGGAGCCCCUUGAGCCCAAGUUGAGCCUCCGCCCCCGGCCCCGAGCCCAUCCACUGUGAUCUGCCCACCUCCUACCGUCCCUCCUCCUCCUCCCAUCCUGGUGUCGGUGGCGACAGCUUCCACCUGGUCCUUUCCCACCGAACCGGUGGCCCCCAGCGAGCCGGAAGCCAGCACCAGCGAGGAGGACCCUAAAGCGAGCUCCAGCCCAA